AAAAAAUUAGUUUAAUUUUUAAAACUUUAGUAUGUCAAACUAAAAAUAUUAGUUUUAAAUCUAAUAUUUUUUA
RNAcentral lists this transfer RNA (73 nucleotides) under Sabethes undosus. RNAcentral's name for it is "tRNA-Asp". It matches the Rfam family "tRNA". From Rfam's summary of the family: Transfer RNA (tRNA) molecules are approximately 80 nucleotides in length. Lineage: Eukaryota; Metazoa; Arthropoda; Insecta; Diptera; Culicidae. The record is from RNAcentral.